UGAGCCGCGGGGGUGGUACUGCUGCAUCCGGGUGUCUGGAGGCCGUGGUCGUUUUGUUUUCUUGGCUAAAAUCGGGGUAGUGAGGCGAGCCGGCGCGGCGCGACACCGGGCUCCGGAACCACUGCACGACGGGGCUGGACUGACCUGAAAAAAAUGUCUGGAUUUCUAGAGGGCUUGAGAUGCUCAGAAUGCAUUGACUGGGGGGAAAAGCGCAAUACUAUUGCUUCCAUUGCUGCUGGUGUACUAGAUUAAUGCAGUAUCGAAUGGACAAGUCCGAGGUGAUAGUUACAGUGAAGGUUGUCUGGGUCAAACAGGUGCUCGCAUUUGGCUUUUCAUUGGUUUCAUGUUGGCCUUUGGAUCUCUGAUUGCAUCUAUGUGGAUUCUUUUUGGAGGUUAUGUUGCUAAAGAAAAAGACAUAGUAUACCCUGGAAUUGCUGUAUUUUUCCAGAAUGCCUUCAUCUUUUUUGGAGGGCUGGUUUUUAAGUUUGGCCGCACUGAAGACUUAUGGCAGUGAACACAUCUGAUUUCCCACAGCACAACAGCCCUGCAUGGGUUUGUUUGUUUUUUUACUGCUCACUCCCAACCUUUUGUAAUGCCAUUUUCUAAACUUAUUUCUGAGUGUAGUCUCAGCUUAAAGUUGUGUAAUACUAAAAUCAUGAGAACACCUAAACAACAACCAAAAAUCUAUUGUGGUAUGCACUUGAUUAACUUAUAAAAUGUUAGAGGAAACUUUCACAUGAAUAAUUUUUGUCAAAUUUUAUCAUGGUAUAAUUUGU
This 776-nucleotide small RNA is filed under the name Pan troglodytes (chimpanzee). RNAcentral's name for it is "processed transcript". The record is from RNAcentral. Lineage: Eukaryota; Metazoa; Chordata; Mammalia; Primates; Hominidae.